GGGGUCAGAAGUCGGAGUCAGGGGUCAGAGGUGGGGUCAGAGGUCAGGGUCAGAGGUGGGAGUCAGAGGUCAGGGUCAGAGGUGGGAGUCGGGGUCAGGGUCAGAGGUGGGAGUCGGGGUCAGGGUCAGAGGUGGGAGUCGGGGUCAGGG
Molecule: long non-coding RNA, 150 nt
Organism: Boleophthalmus pectinirostris (great blue-spotted mudskipper)
Lineage: Eukaryota; Metazoa; Chordata; Actinopteri; Gobiiformes; Gobiidae
Exons: 3
Source: RefSeq, a predicted model, not a curated record